CAGUGUGGCAGUAUACAGCUAUA
This 23-nucleotide microRNA is filed under the name Mus musculus (house mouse). Its description in RNAcentral is "mmu-miR-6358". Lineage: Eukaryota; Metazoa; Chordata; Mammalia; Rodentia; Muridae. The record is from miRBase by way of RNAcentral.